This 305-nucleotide signal recognition particle RNA is filed under the name Phascolarctos cinereus (koala). RNAcentral describes it as "Metazoan signal recognition particle RNA (ENSPCIG00000007682.2)". It matches the Rfam family "Metazoan signal recognition particle RNA". From Rfam's summary of the family: The signal recognition particle (SRP) is a universally conserved ribonucleoprotein. It is involved in the co-translational targeting of proteins to membranes. Lineage: Eukaryota; Metazoa; Chordata; Mammalia; Diprotodontia; Phascolarctidae. The record is from RNAcentral.
GCUGGGCAUAUUGGCAAAUGCCUAUAAUCUCAGCUAUAAGGGAUGCCGAGUCUCAUGGAUCCCUUAAGCUCUGGAGUUCUGAGCUGCAGUGGGCUAUGAUUGUGUCUUCAUUAAGUCUGGCAUCAGCGUAGUGGGGUUUCCCCCACUCCCAGGAUUGGAGGACCAAAAUUUUGCCUAUAGAGAGAUGAACUGGCCCAAGGCAGAAAUGGAGCAGGUCAAAGCUCCCUGUACCAAUCAGUAGUGGGAUCAGGCCCAUGAGUAGCCUCUUCUGUACUUCCAGACUGAGUGAGGGAUACCCAAUCUUU